CGAAAGCCUGACGGAGCAAGACCGCGUGGGGGAAGAAGGCUCUUGGGUUGUAAACUCCUUUUCUCUGGGAAGAAUGACGGUACCAGAGGAAUCAGCAUCGGCUAACUCCGUGCCAGCAGCCGCGGUAAGACGGAGGAUGCAAGCGUUAUCCGGAAUGAUUGGGCGUAAAGCGUCCGCAGGUGGCAGUUCAAGUCUGCUGUCAAAGACCGGGGCUCAACUCCGGAAAGGCAGUGGAAACUGAACAGCUAGAGUAUGGUAGGGGCAGAGGGAAUUCCCGGUGUAGCGGUGAAAUGCGUAGAGAUCGGGAAGAACAUCGGUGGCGAAGGCGCUCUGCUGGACCAAAACUGACACUCAGGGACGAAAGCUAGGGGAGCGAAUGGGAUU
RNAcentral lists this ribosomal RNA (384 nucleotides) under uncultured bacterium. RNAcentral describes it as "bacterial SSU rRNA". It matches the Rfam family "Bacterial small subunit ribosomal RNA", at positions 376 to 779 of the family's 1533-position model. The record is from RNAcentral.